AGGCAGGUCGGUUGAAGAAC
Molecule: microRNA, 20 nt
Filed under: Schistosoma japonicum
Lineage: Eukaryota; Metazoa; Platyhelminthes; Trematoda; Strigeidida; Schistosomatidae
Description: miRNA-3024
Source: RNAcentral